CUUGGGUUCCAGUUGCUUCCAUUUGAUGUCGGAGUCUUCAUACUUGGUCUUCUCCAAGGCAUGAGCAAUAGUACCCUGAAGAAAACAAUCCACCAGUUGAGUAAUUACUUACAGUUGAAAGCACAAAAUAUGUAUAGACAUUGACACAGUGCAUGAAUGUAUGUUCGCAUGUAUUUAUAUAGGCAUGCAUGCAUGUAAAAAGAAAUGUUAUAGAAAAAUUGGUAGUUUUCUUAGAAAGAAGACUACUGUAUAGUAAUGUAUAUAUCUGUUUGUGUGAAUGAUUCCAUAUAAAGAUAUCAGGAAGUGAACUGUUAUAAAUUGCAAGUGAGUUUUGAAGAAAUAAACUAUGUUUGAUUAAGUAACAAAGAUAUAAUUUAAGUUACAAGGCAUUGAAUUUUGUUGUCGAACCUGGGUAACACCAAGUUUUGUUGCCACUAGGGAUGCAACAGUGUUCCCAUCUGUGUAGUUUCCGAUGAUCAAGUCAGGUUUCCCAUCUAAAUGCUUGAGGAUCUCCACCGUAGAAUCCUACAUUUUGGUGGACAAGGCUUUCAAUAUUAGUAUUGUACAUAUGCACACACACACACGCAGACUUUUCAAAUUACAUACCUGAGCAAACCUCUCGAGGUAAGGGUAUACAUCAAAUCGUGAAACCCAUUGGCGUAAAACUCCCCUCUCUGUUCUAAAUGGUACUCUCAGAAUGUAACAGUGCUCGGUAUUGAGUAUGGGCUCCCAUUCUUGGUUGCAUUUUGUCCCCAUGGCUUCAUGAAUGAGUCGAGUGACCUUCAGAAAGCCAUCAGAAAUUUGACUUAAAUACUCUCAAAUGGUGAUAAAAGAAAGAAAAAACGACAAGUGAACUUACUUACCACAAGGAUUUGAGGUUUUACCGCCAAUCCUUGCUGUUUGUUUCUUUGCAACAAUUCCUCCUCAAGGGCUUUCACUUGAUCCAGUAUAUAAACAAUCUAGUAAAAGGAUCAUAUAUGUUAGUUUUCUCACUAAACUUUCUUCCUUUGGUCGACAUUUACCCAUCUUUUUUUACUAGAGUACGAGUCUGUGAAUUGGCAAAAUUGCGGGGAAGGAAAAAAUCAUCAAAUUUGUGGCCAGCUAUAGGCAUUUUCUCAUAGAUAAGGAAACUGGGUUAGCCUCCCAUAGCUACUUCUUAUUAGGCUCGUUGCGGACAUGUCCAAUUUUCCUUCAAUAGUCAUUUAAAUUUGAAGUUAAAAUUUGAUUUUCUCUAUCCAAUACGGAGAAGAGUUAAGAGGGUGGUUUCUACAAAAUAUGACUAGGGUGAAAUCUUAUCCGAGAGAAAAAACACUUCUUCCAAGUGAAAUUUAUGAAAGGAAAGAGAAAAAUCAUGCGAAGUUGUUGAGCUUCUUCAAGUCAUUUUCCAAAUCCUUCCUCAAGAAGAAAUUCUCCAAACUUAAUGCCCAUCUACAGUGAACCUGACAACUUGCUUUAGAGAAUGUGAUUCCAGUUUUCUCGCGUAUUUCCUCAAUGAGGUUAACCUUUCUUACAGGAUAGUUGCUUAGAUUGGUUCAUGUAAUUGCCUCGAAGAUUAAUGAAGUUUGAUUUGAAGUAUUCUCUUAGAAAUUAGAUCGUUGUACUUAUCAGUUCAUCGAGUUGUUGAAAUGAUACUGGCAUGUAGUAUUUGACUGCAAUUCGAGACAGUUGAGUGCUUAUUUUUAGUGUUUGGGAGAGAUCCGCAUUUCUGUACACUUAUCAUAGCAGAGCAAUUUGAUCUGAUAUAUAACAUAUACAAUCCUCAAUAAUCAGAUUUCAUGAAUUUCUAGGGCCAUUUUCGUUAUAAACUUCGUACAAGGAGAAAUUUACCUGACCACCAGUGUCUGGCAAGCCCAGAACAUUCGCUUGCCCAAAGUAGCCAUGAGGUGAGAAAACAACGACAUUGA
This 1904-nucleotide long non-coding RNA is filed under the name Amborella trichopoda. Its description in RNAcentral is "long non-coding RNA (ATRI_LNC004842)". Lineage: Eukaryota; Viridiplantae; Streptophyta; Magnoliopsida; Amborellales; Amborellaceae. The record is from RNAcentral.